CAGCAGCCACGGUAACACAGAGGGUGCGAGCGUUAAUCGGAUUUACUGGGCGUAAAGCGUGCGUAGGCGGCUUCUUAAGUCGGAUGUGAAAUCCCUGAGCUUAACUUAGGAAUUGCAUUCGAUACUGGGAAGCUAGAGUAUGGGAGAGGAUGGUAGAAUUCCAGGUGUAGCGGUAAAAUGCGUAGAGAUCUGGAGGAAUACCGAUGGCGAAGGCAGCCAUCUGGCCUAAUACUGACGCUGAGGUACGAAAGCAUGGGGAGCAAACAGGAUUAGAUACCCCUGUAGUCCCUGUCUCUUAUAA
RNAcentral lists this ribosomal RNA (301 nucleotides) under uncultured bacterium. RNAcentral's name for it is "partial 16S ribosomal RNA". It matches the Rfam family "Bacterial small subunit ribosomal RNA", at positions 509 to 809 of the family's 1533-position model. The record is from RNAcentral.